RNAcentral lists this ribosomal RNA (492 nucleotides) under uncultured bacterium. RNAcentral's name for it is "partial 16S ribosomal RNA". It matches the Rfam family "Bacterial small subunit ribosomal RNA", at positions 29 to 507 of the family's 1533-position model. The record is from RNAcentral.
AGUGAACGCUGGCGGUAGGCCUAACACAUGCCAUUCGAACGGCAGCACAGUAAUUUCUUGCUCUUACGGUUUUCUAGUUUCGUACGUGUUAGUUAUACAUCGGAUUCUUCUUUUUCUUGUGUGAUUUCGUAGGUACACUUACGCUAAUACCUCAUACGACCUACUUUUGUAAUCAUUUGUUCUUCUGACCUUUCGCUUUUUUAUGUGCCGAUGUCGGAUUAGCUAGUUGGCGGGGUAAAGGCCCACCAAGGCGACGAUCCGUAGCUGGUCUGAGAGGAUGAUCAGCCACACUGGAACUGAGACACGGUCCAGACACCUACGGGAGGCAGCAGUGGGGAAUAUUGGACAAUGGGCGCAAGCCUGAUCCAGCCAUACCGCGUGGGUGAAGAAGGCCUUCGGGUUGUAAAGCCCUUUUGUUGGGAAAGAAAAGCAGCAGGUUAAUACCCCGCUGUUCUGACGGUACCCAAAGAAUAAGCACCGGCUAACUUCGUG